Molecule: long non-coding RNA, 488 nt
Organism: Zonotrichia leucophrys gambelii
Lineage: Eukaryota; Metazoa; Chordata; Aves; Passeriformes; Passerellidae
Exons: 3
Source: RefSeq, a predicted model, not a curated record
UGCUGCUGCCCGCGGAGCGCAUCCCGCUCCUCCGGCUCCUCCGGCGGCACCGCUCCUCCCCGCCAGCCUGCAUCCACCCGCCAGCACAACAAAAAUGUGCCGUUUCACUGUCCCUAUAAUGCACAGAGGAAAUAGGAUUAGGUCCAAAUAGCGGCAAGUCUGGAUAUGUCACAUGGAAAUUGCAACUGCCAAAACAAUCUACCAGGAGCACAUCAAUAAAAAUAACUUCCACAUACUUCCCCAGCGAGCCAAGGAAAUGACACUCAGUGGCUGUCGAUGCUGAGGAUCUCCCAAAUCCCCCAAAAAGCUGCAAUUACCGACGGCCCCGGCAAAUGCCCAGCCCCGCUGCGGCAGGACCCGCUCGAUGCAGCCUGCACUCGUUAAAUUGAAUUUUUCCGAGAAAUGAUGCUCGGUUGGCAAAUUGACGGUGGAAAUUGAAAGCUUGGAGGGGAGUGACACACUGCAAUGCCAUGCUAGCUUGGCCUGGG